UGAGAAAAAAAAAAAAAAAAAAAAAAAAAAAAAAAAAAAAAAA
Molecule: non-coding RNA, 43 nt
Filed under: Prorocentrum micans
Lineage: Eukaryota; Dinophyceae; Prorocentrales; Prorocentraceae
Source: RNAcentral